This 140-nucleotide small RNA is filed under the name Bacillus sp. (in: firmicutes). Its description in RNAcentral is "Bacillus sp. c-di-AMP sequence". It matches the Rfam family "c-di-AMP riboswitch aptamer (ydaO/yuaA leader)". From Rfam's summary of the family: This family represents a conserved RNA structure found upstream of the ydaO and yuaA genes in Bacillus subtilis and related genes in other bacteria. The ydaO/yuaA element is thought to act as a genetic "off" switch for the ydaO and yuaA genes in its native state. It is believed that the element may be triggered during osmotic shock leading to activation of ydaO, a predicted amino acid transporter gene, and members of the yuaA-yubG operon which code for KtrA and KtrB K+ transporters. The record is from RNAcentral. Lineage: Bacteria; Bacillati; Bacillota; Bacilli; Caryophanales; Bacillaceae. RNAcentral also lists the same sequence under 1 other name.
UAGAUGAAAUCGCUGAAUCCUAAUAGGAGCGGAGGAACCACUUUUGCACACUUUGUGCUCGGGGUGAAUCCUUUAUAGGUAGGGUUACUCUCAUAACCCGAAUCCGACAGCUAACUUCGCAAGCGUUUUGAGGGGGAGAU